GUUGCCCCUCCCCCAUCAUUCUUAGGUAACUGGUGCUCCCCCCCCCCUCCCCUGCUUUGCUUCCCCUUCAGAAAAAGGAGGAGUGGGGUUGAUACACACAUUCAUCACAGUCCUCAUUAUUUUGGCAAGGGAAACAGAUGGGAAUCAAGUCGUCUUUUUCCUGUCAGGGAGGUGAUGAAGGAAAUGUCAAUAAACUGAACAGUUUGCUCUGAGACUGCCUGGCUCGCGAUCCUGGAGCACAGCAAAAUACAACGACGUACCCUGAGGAGAAAAAGACAGAUUGGGAGCCACUGGGGAAACCCGUGCUACACAUGAAGACUCCUUAACCCAGCCGUCUUGCUUCUUUCUCUGGUUCCGGGCUCUCUCCCACCAGCACUGCCGACAAACACGCAUGUCUCACGCAUGCACUCAUGGAGACUGGUCCACUGUCACCAGACAGAUCUUUUCCCACACUGGAUGGUAAAGCCGCGGGGUUCGCCGCGACCACGGGGCUGAUGAAGGCUUGCAGGUGAGCUGCUGAACCCCGGCUCGCCCUCUGAGGAGCUAGAGACACUGUUUUGCAUUCAUUCCCCCGGGUUUCCUCCCUCCUUCCUCUCCUCUCACCACACAAUAUGAAAAUAUCCCUAGACCAAGAAUUGCCUGUUUAUUAUGCUGUCUCAGAUACAUAUCCCAUUAUAUGGGGAUGGAUGAAAAGAGAACCUGUACGGGUCUAUUUUUAGCAGAUGGCUUGAACGCUAUAAAUUUUAGGGUGCUUCGCGUCCCUCCCCCUCCUCCGCCCCUUCAAGCCUGUCAGCUGUAAAAUGGGUCUCUCUUUAACCCCUAAUGGAUCCAGAAGAUGAAAGGUGAACUCUUGAAUUAGCGGUGCUGACAGCCCAGCCAAGCCCGGCAGCAGGGGGUCUCUUUUGUCCCGGCCACUCUGACCUCCCUCGCCCUGUCUGUCGGUGGGAACCGGACCAGAAGAAUGCGGGGCGGAGUUAGAAAGCACCAGUGGCCGCCCCGCGCUGGGCCACCCGCCGGCCCAGCCCGCGGGAGAGUUGACAUUCUUCAGCGGCGGAUAUUCUGACAUCAUCGAACACCUCCACCCUGCUCCAGCCCCUCCAGGCCCGAACGCUUUGCAAAUGAGGACAAUGGGGCUGGUGGCAGAGCCACCCCUAGCAGGGAAUGCGGGUGCUUGCCUGUGUUUAUCGGAGAAGUAAGUGUUUUGGUGUUACGGCUUGCCUUUGGCCGGAAAGGAAAAUUCUCUUCACUGAGCCGGCUGCGCUCAGGCCUGCUUGGCAUUAAGGAGGAGGUGGAUUGAAAGGGCGUGUAUCUCACAAUCGGAUGUGCAUACUGUCCAGCUGGGGCCUUCAUUUGUUCCACAGACUCUUUUGACUUGUAAUAAAAUACUCUUCUAUGAGCA
Molecule: non-coding RNA, 1399 nt
Organism: Peromyscus maniculatus bairdii (prairie deer mouse)
Lineage: Eukaryota; Metazoa; Chordata; Mammalia; Rodentia; Cricetidae
Source: RefSeq, a predicted model, not a curated record